AAGCUGAGGCAGCACAUACAGUAAAAUUGGAACGAUUCAGAGAAAAUUAGUAUGGCCUCUGCGCAUUUAUGACAUGCAAAUUUGUGACGCUUUCCAUAUUUUU
This is a small nuclear RNA of Tachyglossus aculeatus (Australian echidna), 103 nucleotides long. NCBI's taxonomy places the organism in Eukaryota, Metazoa, Chordata, Mammalia, Monotremata, Tachyglossidae. The record is from RefSeq and is a predicted model, not a curated record.